CCUACGGGAGGCUGCAGUCGAGAAUCAUUCGCAAUGGGCGAAAGCCUGACGAUGCGACGCCGUGUGAGCGAUGAAGGCCUUAGGGUUGUAAAGCUCUUUCGCCUGGGAACGGGUACCAGGUAAAGAAGCACCGGCUAACUCCGUGCCAGCAGCUGCGGUAAUACGGAGGGUGCAAGCAUUAAUCGGAUUUAUUGGGCGUAAAGGGCGCGUAGGCGGAGUGAAAAGUCAGAUGUGAAAUCCCGGGGCUCAACCUCGGAACAGCAUUUGAAACUCUCACCCUAGAGGGUAGGCGGAGAAAACGGAAUUCCACAAGUAGCGGUGAAAUGCGUAGAUAUGUGGAAGAACACCGGUGGCGAAGGCGGUUUUCUAGCUUAUCCUGACGCUGAGGCGCGAAAGCAAGGGGAUCAAACAGGAUUAGAUACCCUAGUAGUC
Molecule: ribosomal RNA, 432 nt
Filed under: uncultured bacterium
Lineage: Bacteria
Description: partial 16S ribosomal RNA
Rfam family: Bacterial small subunit ribosomal RNA
Source: RNAcentral